This 1466-nucleotide unclassified non-coding RNA is filed under the name Pomacea canaliculata. RNAcentral's name for it is "uncharacterized LOC112568492, transcript variant X1". Lineage: Eukaryota; Metazoa; Mollusca; Gastropoda; Architaenioglossa; Ampullariidae. The record is from RNAcentral.
AGUGCAGUGACAACCGUGAGGAUGAAAACGUCUGCCCAAGUCCACUGCGUUUUCAUGCUACUUCUUAUACGGACAACGGGAGUGCUACUCUCUUCUUGUGGAGAAUCAAACUUUAAUGAGACCCUGAGAAAAGAAGAAUACGAUUUUGUAAACAUGAGCUAUACAUUCAAUGUAACAAGAAGCACCAAUUCGCUAGAUAGAUUUCACGCUGCGUAUGAGGUUUGUGAAAAUAACCUGAAGAAAUUAAGUUGCAGUCUACGUUGGGAAAACAGUAUGAACUCGUUCGAUAGGAAGGACAUGAGUCGAAAGAGAGGGGUUAUUUGUUAUGGAGAAGAACGAAACCUGAGUAGUUCUGAAGUGGCUUUAGAUAUUCACAUUUUUCAGCGUGUCACGAGGUCACUGAGUGCGAUGAUAUUCUCUGCUAGUGCAGGCAGGACAUCCAGGCCAAAACGGCUGAUACGUGUUGAGGUGUUGUACCCACCGAAAAUGACAAGUAUGACUGUGGAUGGACAUGAGGUUAAAGAUAACUACGUCAUAGAUGAGGGUCAUAAGGUUGAUAUUUCCUGCGCCUUUGAGACAGGGAACCCACCAGUCAUUUUUCAGCUUUUGGAUCAUUUGUUGCUGAAAUCGUCUGGUAAUCAAGGACAUCUGAACUAUUCACUCACUGCCAGGUGUGAAGACGAGUGGCCUAUAAUCAGUUGUCAAGGAAGUGGGUCAACCAGGAACAGAUCUGUGACCUUCCUCGUGGCAUGUCCUCCUCAGUUUGUUGACAGCUCUGUGAAGUUCGUCAGUGUACAAAUCUUUGAAGCCAUAACAUUUCGUGUGAAGGCUCACACAGCGGCACUAACCGGAUGUGUCUUGACCCCAGUGUCAUUAGGCAACAAUAUCAGAAGGGGAGUAAGUUGUUUCCUAAGUGGUAACCCACCUGAUCUCGUCUUGAGUGUUUACCUUUACAAGGAAAUAAACAUCAGCCAAGGAAACUGGUCGUUGAUUCUUCAUAAUGAAAAAGGUUCUGCUAACACUACCUUGUGCUUCAUAGAUGGUCCCAGUCCAACACGAGGCCAUCGUCUAAAGAAGCUUUAAGAAAAUGUCAAACAACAAACGACCAAGAGGUGGUUCGUGAUGCUGAGUGGAAGGAUGCCCCUUUGCGAAGAGAAAAAACUGUUUUCCGUGGGCAAGUGGAUACAAAAGAUCAACAGCUCUCGUUCAUGCUAUUUCCUGCUCAAACAAAAGCUUCAGUCCGUUUAAACUUGACAGUCUUGAGAUAUUUUAAAGAAAGGGCAUGAAAAGGUACUUUUGGAAAAUUCAUAGGACUAGAAGGCAUCAGCACGCCAGCUAGAUGAAGGCUUUAAAAUCAAUUACAACUCCCAAAACCACUAGACCAAGCUUGUAAAUGUAAUAAUGGAAAUAAGUUUUGAAAUAUUCUAGUUUUAUUAUGAUAACCUACUGUUUGUAGACUGGUUCUA